UUGGAGGGCAAGUCUGGUGCCAGCAGCCGCGGUAAUUCCAGCUCCAAUAGCGUAUAUUAAAGUUGUUGCAGUUAAAAAGCUCGUAGUUGAAUUUCGGAAUUUUUUUAUCGGUUGAAUCAACAGGUUCGUACUGAUUUUAAGAAUUUCUACCUUCUGGAGAACCUUAAUGUCAUUAAUUUGGUGUUUUGGGAAACCAGGACUGUUGCCUUGAAAAAAUUAGAGUGUUUAAAGCAGGCUUAUGUCUGAAUAUAUUAGCAUGGAAUAAUGAAAUAGGACGGCAUGGUUCUAUUUUGUUGGUUUCUAGGAUCACCGUAAUGAUUAAUAGGGAUAGUUGGGGGCAUUAGUAUUCAAUUGUCAGAGGUGAAAUUCUUGGAUUUAUUGAAGACUAACUUCUGCGAAAGCAUUUGCCAAGGAUGUUUUCAUUAAUCAAGAACGAAAGUUAGGGGAUCGAAGACGAUCAGAUACCGUCGUAGUCUUAACCAUAAACUAUGCCGACUAGGAAUCGGACGAAGUUAAUUUUUUAAUGACUCGUUCGGCGCCUUACGGGAAAC
RNAcentral lists this ribosomal RNA (551 nucleotides) under uncultured Glomeromycotina. RNAcentral's name for it is "SSU rRNA". It matches the Rfam family "Eukaryotic small subunit ribosomal RNA", at positions 548 to 1098 of the family's 1831-position model. The record is from RNAcentral. Lineage: Eukaryota; Fungi; Glomeromycota.